AGAGGGUUUGGCAGUUUACUCCAGACUAUAGAAACUACAUAUAUAGUUAUAUGUGUGUGUGUGUAUGUGUGUAUAUAUAUACAUAUACAUAUAUAUAUACACACACACACAUAUAU
RNAcentral lists this microRNA precursor (116 nucleotides) under Otolemur garnettii (small-eared galago). RNAcentral describes it as "miRNA (ENSOGAG00000031674.1)". Lineage: Eukaryota; Metazoa; Chordata; Mammalia; Primates; Galagidae. The record is from RNAcentral.